Molecule: ribosomal RNA, 985 nt
Filed under: Bacillus zhangzhouensis
Lineage: Bacteria; Bacillati; Bacillota; Bacilli; Caryophanales; Bacillaceae
Description: bacterial SSU rRNA
Rfam family: Bacterial small subunit ribosomal RNA
Source: RNAcentral
UGCAGUCGAGCGGACAGAAGGGAGCUUGCUCCCGGAUGUUAGCGGCGGACGGGUGAGUAACACGUGGGUAACCUGCCUGUAAGACUGGGAUAACUCCGGGAAACCGGAGCUAAUACCGGAUAGUUCCUUGAACCGCAUGGUUCAAGGAUGAAAGACGGUUUCGGCUGUCACUUACAGAUGGACCCGCGGCGCAUUAGCUAGUUGGUGGGGUAAUGGCUCACCAAGGCGACGAUGCGUAGCCGACCUGAGAGGGUGAUCGGCCACACUGGGACUGAGACACGGCCCAGACUCCUACGGGAGGCAGCAGUAGGGAAUCUUCCGCAAUGGACGAAAGUCUGACGGAGCAACGCCGCGUGAGUGAUGAAGGUUUUCGGAUCGUAAAGCUCUGUUGUUAGGGAAGAACAAGUGCGAGAGUAACUGCUCGCACCUUGACGGUACCUAACCAGAAAGCCACGGCUAACUACGUGCCAGCAGCCGCGGUAAUACGUAGGUGGCAAGCGUUGUCCGGAAUUAUUGGGCGUAAAGGGCUCGCAGGCGGUUUCUUAAGUCUGAUGUGAAAGCCCCCGGCUCAACCGGGGAGGGUCAUUGGAAACUGGGAAACUUGAGUGCAGAAGAGGAGAGUGGAAUUCCACGUGUAGCGGUGAAAUGCGUAGAGAUGUGGAGGAACACCAGUGGCGAAGGCGACUCUCUGGUCUGUAACUGACGCUGAGGAGCGAAAGCGUGGGGAGCGAACAGGAUUAGAUACCCUGGUAGUCCACGCCGUAAACGAUGAGUGCUAAGUGUUUAGGGGGUUUCCGCCCCUUAGUGCUGCAGCUAACGCAUUAAGCACUCCGCCUGGGGAGUACGGUCGCAAGACUGAAACUCANGGAAUUGACGGGGGCCCGCACAAGCGGUGGAGCAUGNUGGUUUAAUUCGAAGCAACGCGANAACCUUACCAGGUCUUGACAUCCUCUGANACCCUAGAGAUAGGGCUUUCCCUUCGGGG